UCCGAGUUGACCCCGGCAGUCUCCCUAGAGUUCCCGACUUCACUCGCUGGCAACUAAGGACAGGGGUUGCGCUCGUUGCGCCACUUAAGGCAACACCUCACGGCACGAGCUGACGACAGCCGUGCAGCACCUGCACAGGCUCCCUUGCGGGUCCCUUGGCUUUCGCCUCGGUACCACCUGCAUGUCAAGUCCGGGUAAGGUUCUUCGCGUUGCAUCGAAUUAAACCACACGCUCCGCUGCUUGUGCGGGCCCCCGUCAAUUCCUUUGAGUUUUAGCCUUGCGGCCGUAGUCCCCAGGCGGGGUGCUUAUUGCGUUAGCGACGGCACCGGAGGGGUCGAUACCCCCGACACCUAGCACCCAUCGUUUACGGCGUGGACUAC
RNAcentral lists this unclassified non-coding RNA (380 nucleotides) under uncultured bacterium. RNAcentral describes it as "contains 16S-23S intergenic spacer region". The record is from RNAcentral.